Long non-coding RNA from Cephus cinctus (wheat stem sawfly), 823 nucleotides. RefSeq lists it as uncharacterized. The record is from RefSeq and is a predicted model, not a curated record. NCBI's taxonomy places the organism in Eukaryota, Metazoa, Arthropoda, Insecta, Hymenoptera, Cephidae. The transcript is spliced from 5 exons.
CGUGAUAGGAAUAAUACUCUCCAUGAACAUGUCUACGAAUUAUGUCACACCACUCACGGCUGUAAGAGGUUAGGCGAAACAGGAAGUGUCGAUCGUCUGUCAUUUUAAAAGGAUGCAACAUUCAAGAUGGAAUGCGAAGUUGCGUAAUGUGGAACAUCAUCCUCAUAAAUCGGAUGAUGAUAGUAGCACGCAUUGCUAGGAUGUCUUGGUGGACCAAAAUAAAGUUCCUCUACAGAAGCUGGCGCGUCAUAUCCUGGUUCCCUUAUAGGUGGUCCAUAACUAAAUUCGUGGUUAUAGAAACGCACGUGAAGAUAUUUACCAGUACUCGGCUUCUGGUCUGACAUCCUGUUCACGUCGCCGAUUUGAACGUUGCUGAAGCUGAGGAUGAGGUUGAGGAUAAGGAUAAGACAUAGAGGCGAUACUGUGCCUGCGUAAAUAAGCAUAGUUCUCCAAAUCCCAAGGAUCGACGUAUUGCCUUCCACUUCUGGAAUUCGAAUCGCCAGAACUACCGCCAGAAGACACUUUGUCUUGAUGAAACUAAGCGAGGAUAGCACUGCCUGCAUCGCGGCCGUGCUUUCCCUUGAGUCUCUCUUGAGUGCUGUGGCUCUUCUGCCACUCUCCUUGGCUCGUCCAGUGAAACUAAAGUUUCACACCUGCAGCGUAAACGCCCCUCCGCUUCGAAAGACAUAUAAGAUUUAUAUUGUUGGCAUAUACCUCUGGGGAUAAAAUCAUUUAUGGCAAAGAAACAAGAUACUUGGAUAAAUUCAGGUCAACAAUUUUUAGUAAAAGUUACACGACGUUAUUCGUGUAAUUAAGAAUAGUG